Molecule: ribosomal RNA, 585 nt
Filed under: uncultured bacterium
Lineage: Bacteria
Description: partial 16S ribosomal RNA
Rfam family: Bacterial small subunit ribosomal RNA
Source: RNAcentral
UGGGGAAUCUUCCGCAAUGGACGAAAGUCUGACGGAGCAACGCCGCGUGAGUGAAGAAGGUUUUCGGAUCGUAAAACUCUGUCUUUUGGGGCGAACGUGAGUAUGGUGAACAUCAAUAGUCAGUGACGGUACCAAAGGAGGAAGCCACGGCUAACUACGUGCCAGCAGCCGCGGUAAUCGUAGGUGGCAAGCGUUGUCCGGAAUUAUUGGGCGUAAAGAGCGCGUAGGCGGGAUAGUCAGUCUGUUGUAAAGUGCGGGGCUCAACCCCGUGAUCGCAAUGGAAACAGCUAUUCUUGAGUGCAGGAGAGGAAAGUGGAAUUCCCAGUGUAGCGGUGAAAUGCGUAGAUAUUGGGAGGAACACCAGUGGCGAAGGCGACUUUCUGGACUGUGUCUGACGCUGAGGCGCGAAAGCCAGGGGAGCGAACGGGAUUAGAUACCCCGGUAGUCCUGGCCGUAAACGAUGGGUACUAGGUGUGGGAGGUAUCGACCCCUUCCGUGCCGGAGUUAACGCAAUAAGUACCCCCGCCUGGGGAGUACGGUCGCAAGACUGAAACUAAAGAAUUGACGGGGUCAUAGCUGUUUCCU